CGGUGCCAGACGGGCGACUGCGGCGGCGUGCUGUCAUGCACGGCGUACGGCAGCCCGCCCAACACCCUGGCGGAGUUCGCGCUCAACCAGUUCAACAACCUCGACUUCUUCGACAUCUCCCUGGUCGACGGCUUCAACGUGCCAAUGGACUUCAGCCCCACGUCAGGCGGCUGCCGCGGCAUCCGGUGCGCGGCGGACAUCAACGGGCAGUGCCCCGGGGCGCUGAAGGCGCCGGGCGGCUGCAACAACCCCUGCACCGUGUUCAAGACGGACCAGUACUGUUGCAACUCCGGCAGCUGCAGCCCGACCGACUACUCCCGGUUCUUCAAGAGAAACUGCCCCGACGCCUACAGCUAUCCCAAGGACGAUCAGACGAGCACCUUCACCUGCCCCGGCGGCACCAACUACAGGGUUGUCUUCUGCCCUUGAGAUCACUGACGCCACUAAUAAGCCGCCCUCGUGCAGGCAACCACGCAUAUAGAUAUAUAUACUAGUCUCCUACAAUACAAAUAAGAUGUCAAGAGUGAUGGAAGGUAUUAGCCUUCUCUUGGGCUAAUACUGUUGACUGAUGUAAUAGAAGUGGUGCAACCAACUAAUAAGAUGCAUAAUAUCAUCACAGCAUGAGUGCUUUUCCAUUGAUGUUUGAAUCAUUUUGUGAGAGCAAUCAGCUUAUGCAAUCAGCAAAAAGAAUAAUUAAACCAUUUCUAUUUAUGUCUUGUUGGCUUAAAACAUGAAUUGAUUUUGAAACAUAAUGAACCCUACAUAUAUAACUUCAUAAAAGAUAUCUCAAGGACCAUACAUUAUACAUACAUAUAUACAUAUAUAUACAUAUAUAUACACAUAUAUAUAUACAUAUAUAUACACAUAUAUAUACAUAUAUAUAUAUAUACAUAUACAUAUAUAUAUAUAUAUNNNNNNNNNNNNNNNNNNNNUAUGUAUAUAUAUAUAUGUAUAUAUAUAUAUAUCAUUUAGGAUGAUGAGUCAUCGCCUAUCCAAUUUGGACCUCUGCCAUUCUCCGUAGAAACUUUGCGUAGCCAUUUUCCAAUACAAUUGCGCGUUGACCAGAGUGCGUCCAUGUGAUCCUCCCCGGUAAGUUUGGUGCCCGAAAUUAUCCGGCAAGUAUGGCUUUAAAUAUUGGAAUUAGUUGCUCUUUGUUUUACGUAGGCCGAUCAAGAUGAACAGAGAGAAUGAUGCUGACUAAUUGAGCCCUGACCAAUCGAGGGCUUCAGGACUCGAGCCCCGACGCGCCCUCGGGAAGCUGCCGCGGGAGGCGGACAUCGAUGGGCAGUGCCCGCAGGUGUUGAGGGCGCCGCGGCGGGUGCACCGCUCGACCGUGUCCAAGGCGGACCGGUACUGCUGCAGCUCCUGCAACUGUGCGUCAAGCGGCUACUUCAGCUUCUUGAGGAGGAACUGCACCGAUGGCUAUAUCUUCCCACAACCUUACGGCCUGGCUUCCACCACUAGUUUCUACGGUAGUCUUCCUCCUCCAAGAGUCGAAUUCAGCUUCCUACAAGAUUAUAAUGAUGGUUUGUAUCAAUUAGUUGUUAAAUUGUAUUUUGGAACCUAAUACAUAUUUUAAAUAUAAAUUCAUAUUUAAAGUUUCUUUAACAUCACAUUUGUCAUGAAUAUAGUGUCAGUAAAUGCUUAAAUUCUGAAACUAUCUUAGAAUAAUUAUAACAUCUCGAGUAAUCUCACAUAAAAAAUGAAUAAGAUUAAAAUUAACUUAUGAUAGUAUAUUACUAUCAAUAUUAAUUUGAAUAUUUUGAUUGCUUGGAUUCAAGAAAAUUGAUAAGUCAAUUAGUUAAUCAAUUGUGACAUUCGAUAUCAAAUUAGUAUUAGGAUAUAGUAUAAUCAAAUUACUAUUAGCGUAUCGUGAGUGAGCUUCGUACUCGUUCAUUGUGAAGUCAUCUUGGGCUAUGUCUUACAUGCCGCGCUAUAUUGAGUCUUUGACAAUGAUUAAUUUUUUUUUUAUAGUUCACACAUAAAAAUAGAUUUUGAACUAUUUAAUUUUAAAAAUCAUAUUAUUUAUUAUAAAAUAUAUUUAUUAAAAUUUAAUUAACUAAUAAAAUUAUUAACUUAUUCACAUAAUUAAGAAAAUCAAUUUUAAUCAUUUUCUUAGCCAUACUAUACAAACAAAAUCACAAUGUAUAUAUUUUUCUUAAAUUUUUAUCUUAAAUGCAUGUUGCUAAUUAUAAUACUUGAUUUAUAUUUAGAUUUAUAUGAUAGUUGAUUAAAAAUAUUAUUUCUUCUCUUAUGUAAUUUUAUCUUUUUAAUAAUCUAUUGUUUAUUAUAUUUUAAUGACUCAAUGCUUGGGAUUAGAUGUUUUUUACUAUAAUUUCAUAAUGCUAUAAUUUAGAAUUGAAGAAAUUGAUUAGGAUUUGGGUUAUAUCUCACACGUACAAUCUUAGAGUUUGAGUUGGGUUUUAAUAAGGAUCAUUUAUUUUUUAUAUAAUAUUUAUUUCCUAUGAUUCACACAUAAAAAUAAAAUUUAAAUUAUUUACUUUCUAAAAAUUGCAUCACUCGUUGAGAAACGAAUCAAUUAAUAAUUUAAUUAAUUUAGUAAUCAUAUUACAUAAAUAAAAUCAUAAUGUGUAGUAUUUUAAAAUUUUUUAUCUUACAUGCAUGAUGCACGAUGAUAAUUAUAAUCCUUGGUUUCUAUUAUAUUUAUAUAGUAAUUUAUUAAAAAUAUUAUUUUCUCACUAAUGUAAUUUUAUUUUAAAAUUUAUUACUAUUUAUUAUGUUUUUAAUGACUCAAUACUAAUGAUCAGAUAUUCUAAUUAGUAGUCAUAUUAGUAAUCAUUAAGAAAUUUAAUUUAAAUUAUUUCAGUAAUAAUAUUACAUAAAUAAAAUCAUAAUGUGUAGUAUUUUUAAAAUUGUUAUCUUACAUGCAUGAUGCAUGAUGAUAAUUAUAAUACUUGGUUUCUAUUAGAUUUAUAUAAUAAUUUAUUAAAAUAUUAUUUUCUCACUUAUGUAAUUUUAGUUUUAAAAUUUAUUACUAUUUAUUAUGUUUUUAGUGACUCAAUACUAAUGAUCAGAUAUUCUAAUUAUAUUUUUUAUAUUUUAAAAUUAAGAGAAUUGAUUAAGAUUUAAGUUGAAAUCAACAAACAAUUAGAGCUAACCCAUAGGCUAGCCACAACUCGUAGAUUAAGCUCAGCAAGCAAGUCAACCCAUAGCCUAUAGGACUCCAAUAUGAUCAGUUAUGUAAUGUACAGACCAAGUCAGAUUUCAUAAACUUAGAUAGAUUCAAGGUAAUUCUAAACUUAUUUAGUCUAUUCAUGUCUAUCUAAUCUAAAUCGAACUCAAUCUAGUCCAAAGUAUACAAGUCUAAGAUGAUUCUAGACUGAUUAAAUGAGAAUUAAAAAUCGAUUUUAUUAUACUAGAGUUAAAUCGAGUUCAAUUGAUUUUAAUUAAACUCGUUUAGAUCGAUUAAGUUCUAGUUAAAUCAGGUUCAAUUAGACCGAUUGAGUUAAGUUAGAUAAAACCUAGGGAUAUGAGUUAUAAAUAAUAUUCAUCAAAUUUCUUCAAUCUAAUUUAUGCUAAAAUAGUUCAAUAAUAAAAAAUAAUAACUGCAAUAAUUAUUGAAUGUUAAUCAGUAUAAUGAAAAAUUCAUAUAAUAACUAUAAUUAUGAUAAGUCAUGAAUUAUAUUUUUAUAUAAUUUUCAAACAUAUUAUAUAAAUAAUCAAAUAAAUAUCCAAGAAAAAUAAUUAGAUUUUUAUUUAUCACAUGCAAAAUUUUAUCAAUAUGACAAAUAAGAAAAUUAUUAAAGAAAAAUCAUAAUUUAUAUUUUUAAAAUUUUGUAUGAACCCUUAUACCAAUCAACCCUAUUUAAUUAGGUAAGCCCAUAAUUGGACUACCUAAAUUGGGCUAACAAUUUGCCUAAUUAGACCCAUUAAGAUUAAAGUUGAUCAAAAUAAAAAAAAGAUCAAAAAUAACUUUUUUUUAAUUUGAUCAAAAACUUAAUUGGUCGAAUUUAAAUCCAACCAAAUAGUUAAAAUAUAGUAAUGAUUAAGCUCGUUUAAAAGAUUUGAUUAAAAUAAAUCAAAUUAAUAAAUUUUAUAAUUGAGGGCAUAUCUCAAAAUAUUUUAAUUCAAAAGGGUAAAACUAUAAUUUUACUGGGAUAUGUAGAGAAAAUAUCUAAUUUCUGAAGAAUAUAAUUAUCAAAAGGACACAAGUUGAAAUUAAAAGACUUUAUAAGAAUAAAUUUAUAAUUUUAAAAAUAAAUCCUAAUCUUUCACCCAGAAAGGCUCUCUCGCAUUUGUCAUUGGUUCCACCAUGCCCACACGCAAAAGUCAACACCGCAGUGUUCGCCCACCACCUGCAUGGACAACGAGGCAGUUGUCCUUAUGCAUUCAAACGAUAACCUCAUCGGUCGUCGCGUUGUGCCAUGCUCAUGAGUGGCUAUUAUCAUCGUGCGCUUGACUAUAACACUUCAAAAACAAUAUGUAUGUCACUGACCGGAAGCUAUCGCGUAGUUACGCACACAUGCCGAUCGAUAACCCCCAGAAUCACUUUGAUGUGUGACUGUGCUCGCUUGUCUUGCUACAUAGUCGUUGGGAACAAUGGCUUUCAGUGUCCAAUCGAUGUUGACCAUGGCCAACAAGCACUACCACAGUGGUAUUACUGUAACCAUUGUACGUAGUGAAGCUAUAUAGCCACUAUAGGUGCAUGCGCACAUAGUGGCACUGUUACAAUCAUCGCACUUAGUAUUAUACCCCAUGGUGCUUCCAUUAGGUACGCAAUUGCUACUCGCGAUUGAACUAAUGACAAUCAAAAGUUGUCGCUCUUAACCAUAUUGUUAUCGACAAUAAGCUAGUCACAGUGAUCCAUUGAUCAAGUACGAGAAAAUUCAUAUCUCCCACAAAUAGGUGAUAAGAUCGAUUAAAUAGAAAAAUAGAUCAAUAAUAUAUAUGAAUCAUUCAUACAUCGUAAAUAAAAAAUUGAAUAACACUUUUUCAUAAGCCAAAGAUGCUAACAAAUAUAUCUAAAAUAAUUUAUUUUACAAACAUGACUCUGAUAUCAAUUGUAAGUAUAAAAACCAUCCUUAUGCUAUUGUUAUGCAGAAAACUUUAACACCAAAAUCUAAAAUCAAAUAAUAAUAGAUAAGAUUCAUGAUACGUACAUUUUGAUGCUAGUUAAAAAAGCUCUUAUAUGAUCUAUAGGUACACCAUCGUUGGAUCUGAAAGUUAUAGUAAUAUCGAUCUAUAAGAAGAAUUAGACUCAUCGUUUUCUCAUUUUCUAUCCUUUAUAGGACCACUACAAUGGAUUUAGAGACUAAGGGGAGAUGAGAGAAGAUUUAUAAUUUCUCACUGACUUAUUCACAAAAAUUUAUAAUUUUUUAAUAAUAUUUUGUAAACACGUAUCGUUUUUAUCUUCUUAUAGUAUUUCUAGGUGAGAAUAGAAAAUCUAUGAUAAGUAAUGAAUAGGGUCUUUCUAAUCAAAAUCUAUCUCUUAACGAAUUUUAUGAUAAUUUAAUUUUUUAUCAAUCUAUAAUCAUAAUUAAAAUUUAAUCAUAUCUAUAAUAUAUCUUAAAUAAAUAAUUAGUGAUAUAUAAUCUGACACCUCUCUCUUCUCUCCCUUAUAAAUUCCCCACCUCUCCACCCCUCGGAUCUGCACAACACAGAGCACGAAGCCUAAGACUCGCCGUUAGAUGGCUUCGUCAAGCAUUCUCUCCCUCUCCUUCUUCUCCCUUCUUGUCACCCUCUCCCAUGCCGCCAACUUCGAGAUCGUGAACCGAUGCUCUUACACAGUGUGGGCCGCGGCCGUGCCCGGCGGCGGACGCCAGCUCAACCAGGGGCAGUCGUGGACCAUCAACGUGAAAGCGGGAACGACCGGCGGCCGCAUCUGGGGCCGCACAGGCUGCUCCUUCGACGGGAGCGGCCACGGGCGGUGCCAGACGGGCGACUGCGGCGGGUUGCUGGCGUGCACGGCGUACGGUAGCCCGCCCAACACCCUGGCGGAGUUCGCGCUCAACCAGUACAGCAACCAAGACUACGUGGACAUCUCCCUGGUCGACGGCUUCAACGUGCCUAUGGACUUCAGCCCCACGUCGGGCGGCUGCCGCGGCAUGCGGUGCACGGCGGACAUCAACAAGAAGUGCCCCACGGCACUGAAGGCGCCGGGCGGCUGCAACAACCCCUGCACCGUGUUCAAGACGGACCAGUACUGCUGCAACUCCGGCAGCUGCCAGCCGACCGAGUACUCCAAGUUCUUCAAGAGCAACUGCCCCGACGCCUACAGCUAUCCGAAGGACGAUCCGACGAGCCUCGUCGCCUGCCCCGGCGGCACCAACUACAGGGUUGUCUUCUGCCCUUGAGAUCACCGACGCCACUAAUAAGC
RNAcentral lists this long non-coding RNA (6337 nucleotides) under Musa acuminata (dwarf banana). Its description in RNAcentral is "long non-coding RNA (MACU_LNC003597)". The record is from RNAcentral. Lineage: Eukaryota; Viridiplantae; Streptophyta; Magnoliopsida; Zingiberales; Musaceae.